This 497-nucleotide ribosomal RNA is filed under the name uncultured bacterium. RNAcentral describes it as "partial 16S ribosomal RNA". It matches the Rfam family "Bacterial small subunit ribosomal RNA", at positions 28 to 507 of the family's 1533-position model. The record is from RNAcentral.
GAUGAACGCUGGCGGCGUGCCUAAUACAUGCAAGUCGAGCGAACAGAUGAGGAGCUUGCUCCUCUGACGUUAGCGGCGGACGGGUGAGUAACACGUGGAUAACCUACCUAUAAGACUGGGAUAACUUCGGGAAACCGGAGCUAAUACCGGAUAAUAUAUUGAACCGCAUGGUUCAAUAGUGAAAGACGGUUUUGCUGUCACUUAUAGAUGGAUCCGCGCCGCAUUAGCUAGUUGGUAAGGUAACGGCUUACCAAGGCAACGAUGCGUAGCCGACCUGAGAGGGUGAUCGGCCACACGGGAAGGGGUACACGGUCCAGACGCCUACGGGAGGCAGCAGUAGGGAAUCGUCCGCAAUGGGCGAGAGCCUGACGGAGCAACGCCGCGUGAGUGAUGAAGGUCUUCGGAUCGUAAAACUCUGUUAUGAGGGAAGAACAAAUGUGUAAGUAACUAUGCACGUCUUGACGGUACCUAAUCAGAAAGCCACGGCUAACUACGUG